GGCUAAGAAUGAGGUAGGGUACUGGCAACAGUGCUCUGCUGAAUAUUUUCACCCAUGUCUUUUGCGCACUUUUUGUUUCCUGGGCGAGUUUGCUCGCCACCAGGACCCCCAUAUGAACCUUUUUUGUUUUUGCACUCAGCGUCAGUACAAUAAUUUAAUCUAUUAAAACUUUCAACAACGGAUCUCUUGGUUCUGGCAUCGAUGAAGAACGCAGCGAAAUGCGAUACGUAGUGUGAAUUGCAGAAUUCAGUGAAUCAUCGAAUCUUUGAACGCACAUUGCGCCCUUUGGUAUUCCAAAGGGCAUGCCUGUUCGAGCGUCAUUUGUACCCUCAAGCUUUGCUUGGUGUUGGGCGUCUUAUUGUCUCUCCGUCUCGGGGAGACUCGCCUUAAAACAAUUGGCAGCCGGCCUACUGGUUUCGGAGCGCAGCACAAAUUUGCGCUUGCAAUCAGCCAAGGGCGGCAUCCAUGAAGCCUUUUUUCUCUCACAUUUUGACCUCCGAUCAGGUAGGGAUACCCGCUGAACUUAAGCAUAUCAAAAAUCCGGGAGAAAAUAUACCUAGAUCGAGGUG
Molecule: ribosomal RNA, 569 nt
Filed under: Exserohilum turcicum
Lineage: Eukaryota; Fungi; Ascomycota; Dothideomycetes; Pleosporales; Pleosporaceae
Description: eukaryotic LSU rRNA
Rfam family: 5.8S ribosomal RNA (bases 167-320)
Source: RNAcentral